Molecule: small nucleolar RNA, 131 nt
Filed under: Ananas comosus (pineapple)
Lineage: Eukaryota; Viridiplantae; Streptophyta; Magnoliopsida; Poales; Bromeliaceae
Description: Small nucleolar RNA snoR74
Rfam family: Small nucleolar RNA snoR74
Source: Rfam by way of RNAcentral
AAAAAAGCAGGGUUCUGUUUUAUUCAUAAACAGUUCUCUCGUAAACUUUAGGGAAAUUAAGUUCAUUGUUAUUGGGUGAACCAUUGUGAACUUUUCUUGUGACAAAUGGUUCAGUAAACAAUGAUACAUGU